Molecule: long non-coding RNA, 1702 nt
Filed under: Homo sapiens (human)
Lineage: Eukaryota; Metazoa; Chordata; Mammalia; Primates; Hominidae
Description: HSALNT0366412
Source: RNAcentral
CAGGAAAGGGCCCUGACAAGAGGAUGGGACUGCAGUUGUGGCUGCCAGGGCCCCGGCCAGGGUGAAAACAAGGAACAUUCCAGAGAAGAUCACAAGGAUGCGAAUAAAAUCGGAGCUGCACAGGGAUCUUUGGGCUGUAAUAGGAGGGGACACACAGGGGUUAGGGGAGGGUCUAGCCCUUGGCUCCCUCAGCCCAGCCCUCCUGUCACCUUGCCUCUCCCCUUUCCCCCACCUUAUUCUAUCCCACCCGCCACCGUUGGCCAACUCCUCUCCUAAACAGUGGACUCUGCUUUUUCCCCUCCUCUUAUCCCUAAUCCUAGGAGCUUUCUGUCUGGCUUCCCUCCUGGCCCCUCGUGUAUGCAUUCUCUCUAGCGGUGGGGAUUAAGGAGAAAACUCACGUGGCCAGUGGGUAGAGAGAGUCCGGGCAGGCAGCUGCCUGAAGUCAGCCAGAGUCUGCAUGUGCCCAGCUGUCCUGGCCUCCAGCAUCUCUGGAAAAACAGAGACAGAAUGAGUAGCAGCAGGGGACCCCAUAGGGCACAUCUGAAGGCCUGAGAGGUGCUGGAUGGGAUGGGAAGGCAGAAACAGGCUGACCUUAUCUAGGGGUAGGAGUGGGGAGUACUGGUUGGGGUAUCACCGCUACCCCACGUGAUGGCACAGAGAGUUGCCUGGAACUUACCACUGACAUAAGGUUGGAGUGCAGUGGCACGAUCUCGGCUCAGUGCAACCUCCGCCUCCUGAGUUCAAGUGAUUCUCCUGCCUCAGCCUCCCUAGUAGCUGGGAUUACAGGACAAGGAGAGGGACAAAUUCCUUCUUGGCAUCCUUAUGGCCCUGUGACCUGCUAAUGAAUGCUGACUCUGAGUUGCUACUAGAAUUUGGUUUCCUUGUGGCUUCCCAGGAAUUGGUCUCACUCUGCUCACUCUGUCUCCCAAGCUGGAGUGCAGUGGUACAGUCACGGCUCACUGCAGCCUCCACUUCCUGGACUCAAGUGAUCUUCUCACUUCAGCCUUCUGAGUAGCUGGGACUACAGGUAGACCCAGUGUAAUCACAAGCAUCCUUGUAAGUGGCAAAGAGGCAGAGGAGACAGCGCCAGAGAGGCAGCUGCAUGAGAAGGAUCAAGAUGUUGCUGACUUUGAAGUUGGAAGAAGAAGGCCAUGAGCCUCAGUAUGUGGGCGGCUUCUAGAAGCUGGAAGGGGCAAGGAGAUGGAUUUGACCCUUCAGCCUCCAGGGGCAGCUGUACCUGCCAUCACUGAUUGUAGCCUGGUGAGGCCUGUUUUAGACUUCUGACCUGUAGAGCUGUAACAUAAUACAUUUGGGUUGUUUUCAACCACUAAGUUUGUGGUAAUUUGUUGUAGCAGCUGUAGAAAAUGAAUACAUAUGAAUCCUCUGGCAUUUGUUUGAGAUUUGCUCUAUGGCCUAGUAUGUGGUUGUAAAUGUUCCAUCUGUGCCUGAAAAAAUGUAUAUUUCUAAUUCAGUAGUCUCUGCUUUUUUUUUUUAUUUUGUACCCCAUCAAUAAAAUGAUUUUCAGCAUGUAUCCCCAAAUAAACAAUAUUUUAUUUAUUGAUUGAUUGAUAAACAGACAUGUUUAAUGAUAGCUUGCUUUUCACAGAGGUGACUUCGGAGACUUCUAAUCUAUAAUCCAGGAGUAUAUAACCAUGCAGCACAGACCAAUUAGUCACAUGUAAAAUAAACUAGAUUCUUACCA